AGCGAACGCUGGCGGCAGGCUUAACACAUGCAAGUCGAGCGGGCCCUUCGGGGUCAGCGGCUGACGGGUGAGUAACACGUGGGAACGUACCCUUUGGUUCGGAAUAACGCUGGGAAACUAGCGCUAAUACCGGAUACGCCCUGUUGGGGAAAGGCUUGCUGCCGAAGGAUCGGCCCGCGUCUGAUUAGCUAGUUGGUGGGGUAAUGGCCUACCAAGGCGACGAUCAGUAGCUGGUCUGAGAGGAUGAUCAGCCACACUGGGACUGAGACACGGCCGAGACUCCUACGGGAGGCAGCAGUGGGUAAUAUUGGACAAUGGGCGCAAGCCUGAUCCAGCCAUGCCGCGUGAGUGAUGAAGGCCUUAGGGUUGUAAAGCUCUUUUGUCCGGGACGAUAAUGACGGUACCGGAAGAAUAAGCCCCGGCUAACUUCGUG
RNAcentral lists this ribosomal RNA (433 nucleotides) under uncultured bacterium. RNAcentral describes it as "partial 16S ribosomal RNA". It matches the Rfam family "Bacterial small subunit ribosomal RNA", at positions 29 to 507 of the family's 1533-position model. The record is from RNAcentral.